AUCAACUUUCGAUGGUAGGAUAGAGGCCUACCAUGGUGGUAACGGGUAACGGGGUGUUAGGGCACGACACCGGAGAGGGAGCCUGAGAAACGGCUACCACAUCCAAGGAUGGCAGCAGGCGCGCAAAUUACCCAAUCCCGACACGGGGAGGUAGUGACAAUAAAUAACAAUACGGGGUCCUUUGGGUCUCGUAAUUGGAAUGAGUACAAUUUAAAUCUCUUAACGAGGAACAAUUGGAGGGCAAGUCUGGUGCCAGCAGCCGCGGUAAUUCCAGCUCCAAUAGCGUAUAUUAAAGUUGUUGCAGUUAAAAAGCUCGUAGUUGAAUUUCGGGGUCGGUAGGUUGGUCAUGCCAUCGGUAUGCACUGGUCUCACCGAUUCCUCCCUCUUGUAGAAGCGUAAUGCCAUUAAGUUGGUGUUGCGGGGAAACAGGACUGUUACUUUGAAAAAAUUAGAGUGUUUAAAGCAGGCUAACGCUUGAAUACAUUAGCAUGGAAUAAUGAAAUAGGACGUCGAUCCUAUUUUGUUGGUUUCUAGGAUUGACGUAAUGAUUAAUAGGGAUAGUUGGGGGCAUUAGUAUUCAAUUGUCAGAGGUGAAAUUCUUGGAUUUAUUGAAGACUAACUACUGCGAAAGCAUUUGCCAAGGAUGUUUUCAUUAAUCAAGAACGAAAGUUAGGGGAUCGAAGACGAUCAGAUACCGUCGUAGUCUUAACCAUAAACUAUGCCGACUAGGGAUUGGAUGAUGUUAAUUUUUUAAUGACUCAUUCGGCGCCUUACGGGAAACCAAAGUGUUUGGGUUC
This 797-nucleotide ribosomal RNA is filed under the name uncultured Glomeromycotina. Its description in RNAcentral is "SSU rRNA". It matches the Rfam family "Eukaryotic small subunit ribosomal RNA", at positions 314 to 1114 of the family's 1831-position model. Lineage: Eukaryota; Fungi; Glomeromycota. The record is from RNAcentral.